RNAcentral lists this small nuclear RNA (141 nucleotides) under Saimiri boliviensis boliviensis (Bolivian squirrel monkey). Its description in RNAcentral is "U4 spliceosomal RNA (ENSSBOG00000015579.1)". It matches the Rfam family "U4 spliceosomal RNA". From Rfam's summary of the family: U4 small nuclear RNA (U4 snRNA) is a component of the major U2-dependent spliceosome. The structure of U4 snRNA from yeast and human has been reported. The record is from Rfam by way of RNAcentral. Lineage: Eukaryota; Metazoa; Chordata; Mammalia; Primates; Cebidae.
AGCUUUGCUCAGUGGCAGUAUCUUAGCCAAUGAGGUUUAUCUAAGGUGGGAUCAUUGCUAAUCGAAAACUUUUCCCAAUACCUCACCAUGACGACUUGAAAUAUAGUCGGCGUUAGCAAUUUUUGGUAGUCUCUACAGGGA